This 527-nucleotide ribosomal RNA is filed under the name Rhinecanthus rectangulus (wedge-tail triggerfish). RNAcentral describes it as "partial 16S ribosomal RNA". It matches the Rfam family "Bacterial large subunit ribosomal RNA", at positions 1846 to 2571 of the family's 2925-position model. Lineage: Eukaryota; Metazoa; Chordata; Actinopteri; Tetraodontiformes; Balistidae. The record is from RNAcentral.
UAAGAGGUCCCGCCUGCCCUGUGACUUUACGUUUAACGGCCGCGGUAUUUUGACCGUGCGAAGGUAGCGCAAUCACUUGUCUCUUAAAUGGGGACCUGUAUGAAUGGCAUAACGAGGGUUUAACUGUCUCCUUUUCCAAGUUAAUGAAAUUGAUCUCCCCGUGCAGAAGCGGGGAUAAGAACAUAAGACGAGAAGACCCUAUGGAGCUUUAGGCAAUAAACAGACCGUACCAAAUUACCCAAAUAAAGGAACAAAACAUACGAUCAAACCUGUUUUAAUGCCUUUGGUUGGGGCGACCGCGGGGAAACACAAAACCCCCAUGUGGAACAGGACUACUCAUCCUCCAAACAAGAGCCUCCGCUCUAAUAAACAGAACAUCUGACCUUUACGAUCCGGCAGAGCCGAUCAACGAACCGAGUUACCCUAGGGAUAACAGCGCAAUCCCCUUAUAGAGCCCAUAUCGACAAGGGGGUUUACGACCUCGAUGUUGGAUCAGGAUAUCCUAAUGGUGCAGCCGCUAUUAAGGG